Long non-coding RNA from Platichthys flesus (European flounder), 1983 nucleotides. RefSeq lists it as uncharacterized. NCBI's taxonomy places the organism in Eukaryota, Metazoa, Chordata, Actinopteri, Pleuronectiformes, Pleuronectidae. The transcript is spliced from 2 exons. The record is from RefSeq and is a predicted model, not a curated record.
AAUGAAUAAUGGAAGUUUUUGAAUUUAAUCUAACCACCAGACAGGGCUUCUCAUGGACCAGUGGCGCAAUGGAUAACGCGUCUGACUACGGAUCAGAAGAUUCUAGGUUCGACUCCUGGCUGGUUCGAUCUUUUUCAGUCGCUCAUUUUAUGAGGAAAUCGCUUUUCCAUGCUGGCGUCUGGAUGGUUUGUAUGGAGGACCAGGUUGCAGGGUUGGUCCCAGUAGUGUAAUGAUCCAGCCCUACUACUUCUGCCUUUCAAUGCUGACUGGUUUCAGGUAGCUGUUUGAAGCGUUGAGCCAGUUCACACUUAAAAUGAACUAGUUCAAGUUCAGAGGGUUGGUUAAGGUUGUUUUUUUUACUGGGAUGAUUUAGGUGUCAGUGGUCCUGACUGUGAGCGUCACUUAUCUUGUUGUUCUGAUCACAAGGAGAGAGCAGAGAGGAGGAGGAAACAGAAACUCCAGCUCGGUACAAACCACCUGCAGCUUCUGCUCUGAUCAUGAAGCAGCUGAUCACCGAGCAUUUUAAGUGUGAUCUUGUUCAACAAUGCAAACAGCUACUGGACACCAGUCAGCAUUAAAAGGCAGAAGUAUUUGACACCCCCUGUGACCGAUCCUGCAUGAGACUGCGAUCAGGCCCGCCUUCCUCAUUAGCAUACGGACUCAGAAAUGUGUAAAUAAAUAAUUGUGUAAAUACAUUAAUUUAGAAAUAAAUAAAUGUGGAAAUAAAUAAAAGUGGAAAUAUAUUUAAGACAUUUAAUUCUGGCCCUCCAUAAGUUUGUAGUAAAUCUUUACAUCGGCUGACUCAGUGGUUUGUGCCAGCUGGCUGCAUGUAGAUAUAACAAUACUCUGUUUAGGAUUAUGAUUGGCUGUAAUACAAAAAGUUACAAGCUUACCUCUGUGUUAAUACAAAUAAUUAUCAUAUUAAAAGUUCGAUAUAAAAUGGAAAUCAUCACCUAUGUGUUCUCUCUCUCUCUCUCUCUCUCUCUCUCUCUCUCUCUCUCUCUCUCUCUCUCUCUCUCUCUCUCUCUCUCUCUCUCUCUCUCUCUCUCUCUCUCUCUGUGUUCUCCUGGAGCUGUAGUUUAUAAGGAUGUGGGGGCUGGUGGCGACCUCUGCUGGUGUUUUCAGGCAACGAAAUCGGGGAAGGACAACACGGGCAACUUCCUCUGAUAAUUAUUUGAAGCCAUUAAUCUGCCUAUCGGAGGUAAACGAUGAAGGAAAUCCAACCAGCAAAACCACAUCCAACAAACAGAGCGCCCAGUAACAGCCCCGUUAUAAUGAAAUUCUACUCCGUUUUUCAUCACGUGGGCUAGUGGCGCAAUGGAUAACGCGUCUGACUACGGAUCAGAAGAUUCUAGGUUCGACUCCUGGCUAGCUCGUGGCUUUUGUUUACCGUCCCUUGGCUGCGACCCAAGUUUUAAGAAGUCGAAUUCUUAGCAUUAUCUGGCUUCUUUUUCCUGUGACCUCUUUGCUCCAGAACAGACCCGAGUACACCACGAGACUGAGUCUGAGCAGCAGAAUACUGGAGAUGUGAUGGAGGCUUUCUCUCUUGGUGGCACUUUAUGCAGAUGAUCACAUCUAUCUGUCUUACUCCUUAUGGCAGUGCCACUGGGCUCCCUCUCCUCUUUCCUCUUCCUGUAUUUGUUCAGAAGAGCAUGGAACAGCUUGAGUGGAUGUCUGAGUGGAUGGUGGCAUAGCUGAGGGUAAUGGGAAACUACCUCAUCUGUGAGGUCCCGGUCCGGGGCUGCAGCCAUCACAGUGGGAAGCACGGAUGGAAAAAGAAGGGCAGAGAAACAGGAAGUGCAGGGGCAAUGGUAGGAAUCUAUGUGUUUUUUCCCCCAACAAUUACAAAAGCCCCAACACUUCUUCUAUUCUAUCUUGGACCCACUGAUCAAAUAAAAAGUUAAUUUCAUUGGUUUUAUUUGUAAAAAAGAAGGCAAAGAUAGUCAUACAAUUAAUAAAUAACGGAAAAAAGCCUGAUCAAAA